Molecule: ribosomal RNA, 253 nt
Filed under: uncultured bacterium
Lineage: Bacteria
Description: partial 16S ribosomal RNA
Rfam family: Bacterial small subunit ribosomal RNA
Source: RNAcentral
UACGGGGGGGGCAAGCGUUGUUCGGAAUUACUGGGCGUAAAGGGCUCGUAGGCGGCCAACUAAGCCAGACGUGAAAUCCCUCAGCUUAACUGGGGAACUGCGUCUGAUACUGGAUGGCUUGGAUUCGGGAGAGGAAUGCGGAAUUCCAGGUGUAGCGGUGAAAUGCGUAGAUAUCUGGAGGAACACCGGUGGCGAAGGCGGCAUUCUGGACCGAUAUUGACGCUGAGGAGCGAAAGCCAGGGGAGCAAACGGG